UUGGAGUUCAUGCAAGUUCUAACCA
This 25-nucleotide non-coding RNA is filed under the name Cricetulus griseus (Chinese hamster). The record is from RNAcentral. RNAcentral also lists the same sequence under 2 other names. Lineage: Eukaryota; Metazoa; Chordata; Mammalia; Rodentia; Cricetidae.